Molecule: ribosomal RNA, 498 nt
Filed under: uncultured bacterium
Lineage: Bacteria
Description: partial 16S ribosomal RNA
Rfam family: Bacterial small subunit ribosomal RNA
Source: RNAcentral
GACGAACGCUGGCGGCGUGCCUAAUACAUGCAAGUCGAGCGGACGGAUGGGAGCUUGCUCCCAGACCGUCAGCGGCGGACGGGUGAGUAACACGUGGGCAACCUGCCUGUAAGACUGGGAUAACUCCGGGAAACCGGGGCUAAUACCGGAUAACUCUUUCCCUCACAUGAGGGAAAGCUGAAAGAUGACAUCUCGCUAUCACUUACAGAUGGGCCCGCGGCGCAUUAGCUAGUUGGUGAGGUAACGGCUCACCAAGGCGACGAUGCGUAGCCGACCUGAGAGGGUGAUCAGCCACACUGGGACUGAGACACGGUCCAGACUCCUACGGGAGGCAGCAGUAGGGAAUCUUCCGCAAUGGACGAAAGUCUGACGGAGCAACGCCGCGUGAGUGAUGAAGGUUUUCGGAUCGUAAAACUCUGUUGUCAGGGAAGAACAAGUACCGGAGUAACUGCCGGUACCUUGACGGUACCUGACCAGAAAGCCACGGCUAACUACGUG